Papaver somniferum (opium poppy) is the source of this 314-nucleotide long non-coding RNA. RefSeq lists it as uncharacterized. The transcript is spliced from 3 exons. NCBI's taxonomy places the organism in Eukaryota, Viridiplantae, Streptophyta, Magnoliopsida, Ranunculales, Papaveraceae. The record is from RefSeq and is a predicted model, not a curated record.
GCAAAGGCGAAGAAUGAAAUUACACUGUUCAAAAAUCACUGCACAAAUGAAGAUGCUGAAGGGGUUAGAGGAACUUUCGAGCAAUUGAAGAAGGAAUUAGCAACACUAAAAACUAAACUUGAAGCAUAUUUCCAGGCCGCGAGACAAGCUGGACCCUCCCAGACUGCGGAUCGUCCCAAGUAAGAAAUUAAGCAUGGUUGAUAGAUGAAUGCAUGGCAACGACAACAAGGGUUUGAAACAGGCUGCAGAUGUUCGGUGGAAGCGAUAGUAGCUAGUUCAUAUGAACUAAGGGAUUUAGUUAUAUGUAGGAUUUU